This 78-nucleotide microRNA precursor is filed under the name Marmota monax (woodchuck). Lineage: Eukaryota; Metazoa; Chordata; Mammalia; Rodentia; Sciuridae. The record is from RNAcentral.
UCCUAUUCCUGAGACCAAAGAAUCAGAUUCCAGCUUUCCAGGGAAAUUUUUUGGAAAGCUGGAAUUUGAUUCUUUGGU